This 243-nucleotide ribosomal RNA is filed under the name uncultured bacterium. Its description in RNAcentral is "partial 16S ribosomal RNA". It matches the Rfam family "Bacterial small subunit ribosomal RNA", at positions 524 to 765 of the family's 1533-position model. The record is from RNAcentral.
UACGGGGGGGGGCAAGCGUUGUUCGGAAUUACUGGGCGUAAAGGGCUCGUAGGUGGCCAACUAAGUCGGACGUGAAAUCCCUCAGCUUAACUGGGGAACUGCGUCCGAUACUGGAUGGCUUGAGUUUGGGAGAGGGAUGCGGAAUUCCAGGUGUAGCGGUGAAAUGCGUAGAUAUCUGGAGGAACACCGGUGGCGAAGGCGGCAUCCUGGACCAACACUGACACUGAGGAGCGAAAGCCAGGG